AUGCUGGCCACGCCGCCGCCUCCUCCGCCGGGUGGGCCGGCGCGCGACCCGCGAGAGGUGUCCUGCGUGCCCGAGACCCCUCCUGAGCUGCUCCACGCCGCGGCUCGCGUUGCUGCUGCUGACCAUGCGCCUACCUUCAAUGCCGCAUCGGCUGGGCUGGUUACGCGUAAUAACUCCACCAGCUGGGCGGAUCGAGUUCGUGGCGGGGGUGCGCGCACUCUAAAUGCGCAUUCAACGCGAGCGGCCGCUGCGGGGCUCGAGGCGGAGGAUGGCUGGGUCACCGUCGCGUCCCGUCGGCCGCGCCGGCCGGCUUUUCCUGCUACGCCAUUCAAGCCGCGCCAUCCCAUCCCGGACUGGAUUAAAGGGAUGUGCUUCCGCUGCCUCUCCCCCCACCAUCGACAAGCGGUGUGCUGCAACCAAAUCACUUGCCGCCGUUGCUUUCAGUCCGGCCACCGCGCGAGGAACUGCUUCAACAAGCCUGCCCCGCACCUCCGUCCGGGCGCCUCCAGCUCGCGCCUCGGCCGCCCCUCCGCCUCUGGUGCGCGCCCCAACCGCCCCUCUCCACCGCGUGCGGCACCAUCGGCGGCUGUGCGCCCCUCUUCUUCGUCUCCAUCGCCGACAGCUGCCACUCGCCUCCAAGCCCAUCCCCGCACCAUGGCGUGGAAUGGAGACCACUCGCUUCGGCCGGCCGAGGUGUUCACCGUGAUCCACGCGACGCCGGCUAUGCAUCAGGAGGCGGCGCUUCUUGGCUCGAACGCUGUGGUUGCUUGGCUCGACCGCGACCUCAGGGCAUCCACGCACGACAUCGCUGCUGCCAUCGUCGAGGAGAUGGGCAUGCUGCCGGACGACGUCUGUGUGGUCAAGCACUUCCCGGAGGCCUUCCUAGUGCGCUUCUUCCACCAGCACCACUGCGCCGACGCGUCCGGGCGUCGGGACCUGAAGUUCCGCGACACCAGGCUGCAGAUGCGUCCAUGGAGGCUCGAAGCACACUCGGAGAACGUGGACCUUGUCCACCAUGUCCGCCUCUGCCUGGACGGGCUCCCACUGCAGGCGUGGGACGACUACGCCGUCGCGCAGGCCAUCGAGCCAGGGUGCUCCAUCGACUACAUCGAGACCGCUUCUAAGCUCAAGACGGACACUGAGGUCCUGGGGGUGUGGGCGUGGACGGCAUCGCCGGCAAACGUGCCACGCGUGAACUGGGUGACCCUGCCGGCGCGCGCGGGGGGUCAGCCGAUCGUCGGACGUCGCGGCCUGGAGCGGAGGGUGAUUAUUCACCUUUCCAUCCACGAAGACCCCACGCAAGGGCCAAAGAUCGUCUCCAAGGGGUACAACUUCCAGAAGGGUGUCAUCGAUGGCGAGCGACUGGCUCGUGACCCACGGGAGCGCAUCACACGCCCUAUCGAGCACCGCAGGCGUGACCGCGAUGACGACCCUGGUCGCGGCCGUGACGACAGGGAGCGUUGCGGACGCGACAACUCGCAAAGCCGCGAGGGCUGGGGCGACCGCAUCAGACGUAGCCUCUCUCGCCAGCCAAAGGAUGCAUCACGCGACAACCGCCGCGACGAGGGGCGCGAUGGCCGCCGUGAUGGUGGAGGCCGUCGUCGCUCUGCCGAGCCAGCCGUCGAGGAUCCGCCCUCCAUGGUGCUUCUGGGCUCCAGCUCUGGCAGUGGAGACGCUGCCCGCGGCCUGGAGUUGCUCCCGGUGCAGGCCCCUCCUCUGCCUGCUCCUGGGCGUGGCCGCAGUCCGACACGCCAGCUUUCGCCACGCUUGGCGCGGCGUCGUUCCCAGGAGGCCCGCACGCCGCCUGCCUCCCCUCCGCUGUCGCCAACAACGGUGCUGCCAACACCGCCUCGGUCCAAAAGAAGUGAUGAUCGCCCAUCCCCGCUCUCGCAGGCGCGGCCAAGCCAUGUGCUGCUCCGCCUCUGUGCACCGGACUCCCUUCAGGCGCCGCUGCUCUCGCCCGCCAAGCCGCCUGGCUUCGAGGCCUCCCCGACGCCUCCACUUGCUUCCAGCGGCCCUUUGCGGCGCACGCCCUCGCCGGUGCGGCUGCGAAGGACGGCUGCGGGGGGUGGUGCCGUGGGCUUGCAGUGCCUAGCGCCCCUCUUUGAAGACCAUCAAGAGGCGAUCCUGCCGACCCCUGCUCCAGGCCUGCCGAAGGCGCCGACGGCUCGUCGGAAGACCAUGGCUGGAAUCAACAUAGCCAAGACCGGCGGUGGGUUCUCCAUCUGCAAGCCUAAGGCUGGUGCUCGCCCUAAGUCAGCCCCGGCAGCCAGGGCUGCCAAGCUCCUCGUGUGCCGCAGCUUGGGCAUUGUCAAAGACGGGGAAGACGUCACUGCCGCUGCGUUGGAUACUUUCGCGGACCGCUUCAAGGACCAGCUGUCGCCGGACGUGAUCGUGGCCAUGCGUGGGCUGUUCAAGCUUGAUGACAGUAGCGCAGUGGAUGUCGAGGAGGCCCUCAUAGCUCAUGGUGGGGGAGGUGCUCUUGACCUGGUGCAGAACGGCGACGACGCAAUGGCGCAGCUAGAGGCAAGUUGA
This 2535-nucleotide ribosomal RNA is filed under the name Triticum aestivum (bread wheat). RNAcentral describes it as "partial small subunit ribosomal RNA". Lineage: Eukaryota; Viridiplantae; Streptophyta; Magnoliopsida; Poales; Poaceae. The record is from RNAcentral.